RNAcentral lists this ribosomal RNA (495 nucleotides) under uncultured bacterium. Its description in RNAcentral is "partial 16S ribosomal RNA". It matches the Rfam family "Bacterial small subunit ribosomal RNA", at positions 28 to 507 of the family's 1533-position model. The record is from RNAcentral.
GACGAACGCUGGCGGCGUGCCUAAUACAUGCAAGUAGAACGCUGAAGGAGGAGCUUGCUUCUCUGGAUGAGUUGCGAACGGGUGAGUAACGCGUAGGUAACCUGCCUGGUAGCGGGGGAUAACUAUUGGAAACGAUAGCUAAUACCGCAUAAUAGUAGAUGUUGCAUGACAUUUGCUUAAAAGGUGCAAUUGCAUCACUACCAGAUGGACCUGCGUUGUAUUAGCUAGUUGGUGGGGUAACGGCUCACCAAGGCGACGAUACAUAGCCGACCUGAGACGGUGAUCAGCCGCACUGGGACGGAGACACGGCCCAGACUCCUACGGGAGGCAGCAGUAGGGAAUCUUCGGCAAUAGGCGGAAGUCUGACCGAGCAACGCCGAGUGAGUAAAGAAGGUUGUCGGAUCGUAAAGCACUGUUGUAAGAGAAGAACGAGUGUGAGAGUGGAAAGUUCACACUGUGACGGUAUCUUACCAGAAAGGAACGGCUAACUACGUG